This 261-nucleotide ribosomal RNA is filed under the name uncultured archaeon. RNAcentral describes it as "partial 16S ribosomal RNA". It matches the Rfam family "Archaeal small subunit ribosomal RNA", at positions 748 to 1008 of the family's 1478-position model. The record is from RNAcentral.
CAGCCCUAAACGAUGCGCGUUAGGUGUAUCGGUGACCACGAGUCACCGAGGUGCCGAAGGGAAACCGUGAAACGUGCCGCCUGGGAAGUACGGUCGCAAGGCUGAGACUUAAAGGAAUUGGCGGGGGAGCACCACAACGGGUGGAGCCUGCGGUUUAAUUGGAUUCAACGCCGGAAAUCUUACCGGGACCGACAGCAACAUGAAGGCCAAGCUGAAGACUUUGCCGGAUUAGCUGAGAGGAGGUGCAUGGCGUCAGUGACU